CUGUUGGUUUCCAUGAAAUUUGGACAGAGGCAAAAGAACGCAGCAGAAAGGAGUCCGGGAAGGUACAGCUUCUGUUUCUUUCCUUCAGAGGAGGAAAUGACUUCCUAUGGCUAGCUGACCAGGAGUUAGUGCUCACCCCUGCCUCUUGCCAGGACCCAGAACGAGGACCUGGAGCAUACCCAGAUGAGGAUCAGAACGCAGCUUCAGCUCCUCCAACAAAUGAAACUGACAGAAUGAAACCUGAGAAACUUUAGCAACCAAAGAAAGCAGCCUUCCAAGGAUCAAGCUCGAUGCAAAUUAAUCCUUGAACUUGGAAGUCACAUUUGAAGAUGGAGGAGCCACAUACAGCAUAAAAAAAGUAUCUGAAUCAUUGCCCUGAGAAAAGUUAAAACAAGUUUUGGACUUGAUGAAAAAGAAAACAAACUUCUGUUGUGUUUAAACCAUUAUUCAUCUUGAGAUUUUAUUGUUACAAGAACUAGUAUUAUAACUAAUAUAUUAUAGUUAUAGUUUUAACUCUUCCAAAUUGACUAAAAUAAAUUGACUAUGGAUUGGCUGACUAUGCUGGGUCAGGAAAGGUCCAGCCAUUCCUUCAAUACUGUCAAAAAGUCAUUGGACAGUCUGAGGAGCAUAUGCAACUUCUAAAUAGCUUUCACAACAGGGGAUCAGGAUCUGAAUCCUUGUUCUCCCCUCCAGUCCUCUCAGGAAGGGCCAAAUUAACAGCAGGCAACAUGCAAUCAGACCAUGAGCACUGGUAGGGUGUGGAGAAAACUCAGUCAGCCCUGUGACUGUUGCUCUGCACUUCUGUCCUGCUCUCCUUCAUGGAGGACAAUGUACCCUAUUCUCUUAUUUGAUAAAAAGGGAAAACAGUACAAAUCAAAUAUUGUGACUCAAUCAGAUUAUGUACCACCCUUGCUCAGUGCUUUCUAAAACAGCAGACUUCAUUUUGUUAAUGUAGAAAGCAAAGAGAGCUAUUAGCUCUCCUGGCGAAUAACACCAAAUUAUUUGAUUGUUAUUGUCUCUCAUUCAGAAGAUUGGUUGUCAGAAGGAAAAGGUCUGAGUCAUGCUGUAGAAAAGGUGAACAGAGGAUAUGCAACCACCACCAAAAGGUGGCAGAGUGGAGAGGGAACAACUACUGUGGAGAGAGGGGAUCUCAGGUUUAUGAGCCCCUUCCCUCUGUCAAAUGGGGCCAACAAUGCCUUCCUACCCUUUCUCUCAGGAGGACACUGUGAAGACUUUACCAGUGUAAAGUGAAAGUACAUUCAGAUAUGAUAAAAAUAGUUAAUGAUUCCUGAGUAUUUCCAGUGAGGUUCUUACAUAUUGCUUGUUUAAUCUUCUGAACAAGCUUAUUACAUUAGUGUUAUUAAAAACUAGCCCCUCUUAUGAGAUAAGGAAACUGAGGCUCAAAGACGUUAAAUAAAGCAGCAUCUCCAUGAUCAUCUAGGUGGCAAGGAGCAGAGCUGGGACUCUGAGACCUGAGAGUCGCCAAAAGCUCACGUCUCUAACCACCAUAGCCUUCCCGACUCUGUGCCAAUGAAAUGCACUCAUCACAGUGAAUGGCACUUCUGCUGGAGAAUCCAGAAUGCCCAAAGCCAAGAUGCCUACGCUUGGCUCAUUCCACAGGCAGUGUCCUACAAGGUGGCUUGUACUCAGGCAUAUGAAGGGCCUGAGAAAAUAAUGAAACAGAUAGGAAAAAGGGAAGAACAAAGACUACUGUCUUGGGCUCCAGAGACUAGGCUGCCUAAACACAAUUCAUAAAGUCAUUCACGGACUCAGACCUCAUAGAUUUUGAAUAUCAGAUCAUUGAAUCUGACGUGAACUUCUAGAGAGAAAGCAUCCUUUCUUGCUGAAAACAGCUUCCCUUCUCCAGCACAGAAUCAUAAAGAAGAAAGAAUCUGAAUUUCUCCCUGCUUCCUUCUUGCCUGAAAGUUUCUUUUUUCCCUCAAACUCACAGUCCCAUUGUUUCUCUUAUUUCUUCUUAGUAUGCUCUGUUUAAACCAGAUGGAGCAGUAGCAUUUUGAAACUAGUCCCGAAGCCCAGGGGACUUGCAUCACAAAUAAAUAAACAAAUGAACAAUUCAGCAAUUGGUAAAUCAGGCAGAAUGAGUUUAACAACUGAGCUGGAAAAGUAGCUGAAAAUCUAUUCCCUGAUGAAAGAUCUGAAUGUGACCCAGGUUCUCUUCACCUAACAGGCAACCACACUGACUUCUUUCAGCAAACCAGGGACUGAAAAGAGAAGCAGUAGGGAGGCAGUUAUGAACAGCUCCACAGAGAUAUUUGGUGGCACUCUGGCCACUCUGUAUUACCAGUAGGCUGAUACAUUAUCCCAUGGUUGCUAUGAAAUAUUUGUUCACCACCUAUAAAGGCAAGACAUUUUCAAGUGCUGCUUUUCUUUAAAUAUAUUCUCCUUCCUUUCAGUCUUACAUAAUUCAACUAUCAUCCCAUGUGAGGCUUAAUUUAAAGAAAACCAUAAGUUGAGUUAAUUCACUGUGAAGGGUUAUGGAAGUUAUAUUUAUUCCAGAGAGUCAGCAGCUGUGUAAUGGGGUGUCUAUUAUAUGCCUGACCUACUGCCAGGUUCUGGGAACACAAAUAUGAAUAAGACUCAGCCCCUGUCCUUAAGGAGUUCAUGGCCUCCUGAGAGAGAGAUGUAUUCAAAAACUAAGUGAAAGAAGUGUUAUAGCCAUUAGGGUAGAAGAGUUGUUUAGUGAUCAGCUCUGAGGAGUGAGGGAGUAUGUGUGGGGGAGGGGCAGAGGACAGGGAUGGCAGUUCAGCAAAGGAGCCCUCUGUCUCUGCGUAGAAGAUACUAGAAGCUGACGUCUACCAAGAAGACAGGUUGAGAUGAUGGUCUGGGCAGAGAAAGCAGGAAGAAUGGGGGUGGCCAUGCACAGUGUCCCUGUAAACACUUGAACGCAGCUGGGAAAUAAGGUCCUGGGGAAAGAAACAAGAGGCAGGCCUGGGGGCCAGGAGAUGAUCCUUCACUGCCCUGUGGGUCAUGUGAAAGAGUGUGGUCUCUAUCCUAAAUGUUGUGGGAACAUCUAAAGGACUUUAAACAACAGAGUAAACAAGAUCUGAUUUGUACUUUAGAAGAUCACCGUGGCAACCAUGUGGAGGCUGGGCUGGAGGUGUUGAGGCUGGCAGCAGGGAACAGUCAGAAGGCGAGUGCAACAGUCCCAGGAGGGAAGGAUGGGGCCUGAUCUCGGGCAGCCGCAGUGGGGAUGUAAACAAAGAGAAAGAGGGCAGAUGCUAAGAAGGCAGAAAUUUGGGCUGGAGAUAAUGAAAUCUGGGUUCUAGUUCCAGCUUCGGUAUAAUCUCUCCACGUAACCCUACAUGAGUCCUUCCCUUUUUUGGCCCCUGUUUCCCAAUUUGUCAGGUCAGAGGGAGACAUGUUAUGGUUGUAUAUGAGAAGGCAUGUUAUUCAUGUAUUUGGUCAUUAUUAUUCAUUCAUUGGGUAAGUUAAUUAAUUGGUCAGGGAAGGCACUCAUUCCUUUAUGCAUACUUUUGGGAGUCUUGCUCUAAAAAAGCAACAUGGUACUACGAAGAACUCAAAAGAAAGAUGCAACUUGAAGUCCACAGCAUUUGCUGAUCAUCCUUUAGGUGCAAAAUAUGUACCACACUGUCGAUACAGGUAAGAUGGAAACAGAAAUGGCCAAGGUGUGGUCUCUGCUCAAUUAGAGGGAAUGAAGCAGUCUGUGAUUAAUUCAUUUUAACAAACACUGACUGAGUGUCUAUGUGCUGAGUAUUGCAUCUUCCACAGUAAGGAAAAAGAGGAAUACAAGAGGAAUAAGUCCCUGCCAUGAAGGAGUGCACAGUCACCAAUAGAUGAAGUAAUACUGCUUUUAGAGAGCUGCAAAGCACUGUGAGAGCCAGAGAUAGAGAAUCUUACCAAAUGUCCAUCUUUGAUCUUUGUCACGGCAAACAGGAGCAUGAAUGCUCUUUUCUGUGAUCUAAGACUGCUAACAGUUCCCUUCACGAAAGCAGAUGAAGCAAGGAGUCAUUUACUUUUACUUAAAACAAAGACCUUUCUAUGGUGAGGUCCUAUUAUCAGGUGUUCCAUAUAAGAAUAAGGCAUGCUCUUUGCCCUCAAAGAAAUCACAGGUCAGUGUGCAUAACAUUUUGUAUUGUGGGAGGAGAAAUAAGAAAAAGUUCUACUCUUUCUACCAAAUAGUCCAAAGUACCUUCAACAGCACCUAGCAUAUAAUAGGUGCUCAAUAAAGUUCAAAUGAGGUGAACACUUUCAAAUUUGUUACUACAGAUACUAUUUGUUAAAGAAAGAAAAUGAAGUUGACUCUAAAAUAAUAACACAUACCUGACAUUUAAUUAUCCAAAGAAUUCACUCAGGAAAAAUCACUUUUACGUAAGAAGUCAUGAGUAAUUAAUCAAACAACAGGCAACUGGCUUGUUGUAAUAUUAAUUCAAAUACGGUUUCUAAGCAGCAGGUCUACAUUCCCAAAGUCUUGAGAAGCAGAUGGCAUCUAAUUUGCUUUAAGAGGCUUUGAUUGACCACACUUGGUUCUUUAAGCCAGGGUGAGUUCAGUUUUGGAAGCAUUCAUUAAGAGAAAUAGCUUCCAACCCCUUAAAUAAAACAAGUGGUUUCUAAAUGUAUAGUCUGGAAAGACCAUACUUGGGAAUGGUCUUGCUUAGACAUAAAAUGGAGUGUGUUAGGGGUAUGGAAGGAGAAUUCCACUAGUAGCCUACUGAGAAAGGGUGUUGACUUGACAAAUGAGAUCACAUGCGUAAUUAACCUUUGACAAAAAUUAAAGGGGCUAACAGUGCUAGUGAAAUUAAAAACAAACAAACAUGCAUCACAUUGUGACAUUUUUUUUCCUCAACAGAGAAGCCCAGAGCAUUGUGAUCCAGCUGGUAAGAAUUCUGACAUGUAAUUUAGAAUCUUUAACCAGUAAGAAAUGAUUCUAACGGACUUGGCAAUAGGCCUGGCUCAUGGACUCUGUACCCUGUUACAGAUGUGAGGUGGCCACCAUAUUGCCUACCAUUGGGGAGAAGAAGCUCUGGUAAAACAGCUGUCUCAUACAGGGACUUUGGUCAUAAGCUGGCUUUUGGUCACAGGGUCUGACAUCUGGCCUCUGCCACUUACUGAACUGUUAGGAUCCUGGACAAGGUGCUUAACUGCACUUAAGCCUCAAUCCCCAUCUGUAAAUGAAAACAGUAAUGCCUAUCUCAUAGGGUUGUUACAGGGAGAGUACAUGAGAUAAUAGAUGUAAACAGCUUGGUAUAGUGCCUGGCACAUAACAGGUCUGGUAACUUAGUAUUAUAAUUAGGAUUGCUGAAAGGGAAUUUUUCUUUCCACAACUGGCUAAAAAACCUUGUUUCAAAUACUUCUGAGACAGAAAUAAAUAUAUGGAUGAUGGAUUUGCAGAAAUGGGAGUGGGUGUUCCAUUGUAAUAUAAUUGUAAUGUGCUGAAAACCACAGCAGUCUUGUGCCAAUCACAAACCCUUUCUCAUAGUAAGAUUAUUUUGUGAGUGAACCUGGAGAGUAUCUUAUUAAUUACGUGCUUUAAUGUUCCAUUUCGUAAUAUGAGUCUCUUCUGAAUUCUAUUUAAUGAUAUAAUACAGAGAACUGUACCCGGGAAGGACCUUGGUUUGAAUCUCACCUCAGUCACUUAAUGGCAAUGUGAGCUCUGGCAAAACAAAAACCUUUCUGAGCCUCAGUUUCCACAUCUAUAAAAUAGGGAUAAUCUAUUAUCUAUAAAAUAGGGAUGAUGAUGAUCAUCAUCAUCACUUUUACUGAGUUUUUUCUUUGUUCCAAGUUCUACCAGCCUUUACUAAAUUAUCUCACCCUCACUACAUGCUACGUUGCCUUCUAGAAGUGUGGUUGUAAAGGCAGGGUCUGUAGCCAAGAGCUCAGAACCAGACAGUUGGGAUCAAUUGAGUUGAUAGCAGAGGGCUGCUAAAUGAUGACCAAAAAUAUCAAAAAACUCUUGCUGCUUUCGAGACAGUCAGGUCUUUGACAGGUGGACAGCAGGCUGCAGAUAGAGGUCUAGCAGGGAAAGGAAAGCUUUGUGAAUAUACAUAAACAUCAGAAACUUUGGGACCUGCAGUCAAACCUCAACCUCCAAGGCUUAUCACAAAUAACUACU
Herpailurus yagouaroundi (jaguarundi) is the source of this 6091-nucleotide long non-coding RNA. RefSeq lists it as uncharacterized. The transcript is spliced from 3 exons. NCBI's taxonomy places the organism in Eukaryota, Metazoa, Chordata, Mammalia, Carnivora, Felidae. The record is from RefSeq and is a predicted model, not a curated record.